UAUUUUUUUAUAAAGCAUAUUUAAAAAUAGGAGCUUAUAGCAAAGCUUUUCUUUUCCUAGAGCAAGGCAAAUAUUGGACAAUGUUUCCAGUUUGACACUUGAGCAGAUUGUGAGCCUUCAAUUUCUGUCUUCCAAAAGAAGUUUGCUAAUCUUGUCUUUUUUUUCCAACCCAAAAAUUCCAAACUUAUAAUUAUCUGGAUCUUAACAGAGAAGCACAAUAACGGCUUCAGAAACAUGUUUGGAGAGCUAAUAAAAACUGAUUAUUUUUUUUGUGGUUAAUGACUGUGGUUUAACUAAUUUAAUGUUAAAAAACAAUUGUGCUUAAUACAGUCAGAAGAAACGAUCCUGUUUUGUGCUGGUUGCGGAUGUCCCCAGAUAUCAGCUGACUGAGCUUUUCUCUGUUCAGCAUGUAAUAAAGGCAUCUGAAGCAGUGCUAGGACCCAAGCAUCACAGCCUUUUGUCAGUGCUUUGGAAAACAGAAAGGUCAGUCUGGUUUUGUCUGAAAUCAUAGCAGUUCUCUGCAUUCUGGCUUUCAAAAAGUAGUAGUUUUCAUCUGUUACUUUCCUAAUCUAGGUGUCUAAAUUACUCAUCCUUGAUGAUAACUUUCUGGAGAAAGAAAUUUGUUAAAUUGUUGCAAGUGGUGACCAUUCCAUCGAGGACCUGAGGGUUCUUUUUUUCCCAUUUUUUAAACUACUCAGUGAAACGACACUUUCGACAACUCAAUUAUAUGAAGAAAGAGCCUUACGUCUGUAUUUGCAUGUGUGAUAUAUGAACUAUAAUCUGUACAUCAGGAGCACCUUGUUAGAUAUUCAAGAUGGAUCACACAUGGAAAGAGAAAUACACUUCUAACCUAGUAAGGAAGCUUCGUACAGGUGGAAAGUCUGUGAUUCAUGAUCUGAGAUAGUUUUUCAGAGCUAAUUAAAUGCAACUGGUUGAAUUACUUAAAAUUUGAUCAUAUAUUAUCACUGGCUGAAAAGAAGUUAAUGAUGGCAAGACGUUUUUCUUCCCACGGAAGAUAUGACCUGAGCUAAGAAAUGAUUUAUUGUUGGUCAUCACAAGAGAAACUCAGAAUGUAUCCCAUUAUUCUUUCUUGCUUAUUAGUAGGAAAUUGAUUCCCCUCUAUGAGAAUACGUUUCUUUAUGAGAAUUUCUACAUAGCUGUGCUGGAUAGUUGAGGGAGGUGUCUUCUUUGAACCACCAGCAGCCAUGUUCCCACAACUGCCCUUCCCUGAGGGAAAGUGGAGUGUUCAGUGACAUUGUGUAGAGGAGUUCUGGGGUAAUUCUGGUAACUACCUGUGGCUCAGGUAAACAUUUUGUGAAGUCUUGCUUGGUCAAGUCUGUAUGCAGUGUGUUCUGUUGCACUGCACGAUUCUGUUCAGUCCGAUGAAGGGUAAUUUUGUGCAGCUGAAGUGUAUUCUGCCAUACACAGGUCCUUAACUUCAUGUUGUGUCCUGGUGAAUGGCUGGGAGUUUGAGUGGCAAGGUGUGUUUGUGCAGAGUGAACUCUCAUCAGCUUCAAGUAAAUCCAUGGUUUUGGAGUUUAAGAGGUAGAAAGGAUGGUUCAUUUGUCUCCUGAAAAUGCCUAAUACCAACUGUGAGGACUGUAGUGUGUCUGGUCUUGGUUUAUUAUCUUCAGAUCUGGGUGCUUUGUUCGUGUUUAGCUGGUGGUUGGUGAGCUACUGAAAUGCUGUAGCAUGACCAACUACUUGGUUGUAGCAUAAUCAGAGCCUAUCCAUGAGGAGUUUGUAAAGUGCAAUGUUAAGAUUCAUGGUAUAUUACUACAAAUGAGGCAGAAUUCAAAAUCUUCCCAGUCUUACUUUCUAAAGGUGCCUGUGUGUCCAAAGUUACCAGCAGGCAUUUAGAAUUAUGAUAGGAUCCUCAGAAAUACCCAUCUGUAUUUCCAACUUUAUAAAUAUAAAUGUGUGUGGUUUUUUUUUUUAAAUCAGACCUCUAGUUUUGUAGCCAAGGUAGAAACAUUGUGCUGUAUGAAAUUUCUAUUUGAAUUAUUCUUGACAGAGCUGUAAGUGUAGCAGUGAAAUAUUCAUACUGCAAACCUACAUUAAUUCAAGCUUUCUUGGCUCUGAAACGGUCUCAAACGCAGAUCCAUUUUCAUGAACAUCUUUCUAAGCUGUAGAAUUUAAAACCCACGUGGUCAUGUUUUCCAAAUGAAAAGUAGAGAUCUUUGAGAUCUGAAAGAAGUUGGGAUAAGUAGUAUUUCUGUUCAAAUAAAAAAAAUAAAAAGCAAAAUUCAGAGUUACCAGACAUGAGAAGUGAUUGUGCCUGUUGUACUAAGGUACCUAUUAGGGUGAACAAACAAAGUGUGUUGUAGUUCAUGCCUGCUGACAGCUCACUGUGUUAAGUUUAAACAUGCUUCUUGACAGGUGGAAUUUUUGUCCCUCUUUUUGACAGUGCUGGAAAUGUGAGAAUUGAACAACUUCGUCUUUAUUGCUCAUGCUUCUUCUUCUGCUUCUUUUAUUCUGCUAAGAAUUGGAUCUUAAAAACUACUGGACCAGAAUGCAACUGCAGUGAGACAUCCUGAAUCUUCCCUUUAGUAAUGCAUGAGCUUUUUAAACUUUGACUCUUUGUAGAGAGAGGAGGAUGGGCAGUGGUGCCAUGAAAUUUGAACGGCAUUUCUUCCUCUGUGUGUCUUGUUUUCUAAUAAGAUUCUCCAUUAUACAGUUACACAAUUGUGGAUGGCUGUCAUUGCCAUUGGGCAUUGUGUGUGUAAUGGGCAGCUGGGCUGGGAUUCUGGGAGCUGCUCCAGAAUUCAGACUUAAAAAGAAAUUGUCUCAUCUUUCUGUUAAUUGGAAUGCUGUACUUGUAAAUUUUACUUGGAAUUGUAAAAGUGGGGGUGGGAGGAGGCGGCGGGUUCUAUGCGUUUGCUCUGCUUCAUUUGAACAACAAUCUGCAACUAAAACUGCACAAUACCUUAGGCUCUCAUUAAACCUUUCUUAAAGAGAGAUUGUUAAUAAGGUAUAGUGAUGGCAAAGGAUGUCAAAGUGCCUUUCAGCUGUGUGAUUCUUUGUUUCACUACUGCAUGUGAAUGCAAGCUUCUCUGAGAGCUCAUGCUUUCAUUACUUGUUUGUAUUUUUCUUUUUGGUCUAGGAGAGUGUCUGUCUUCUGUAAUAAUGCCUUGCUAGUGAAACUGCGGCAGGAGGCUUCUGGGUUUGUUUGGUUUUAUUUGUUUUUACACCAUUCUCAUCCCAAACCUUUGAGACAUUUUGGGUCUGACAUUCACACCUGAAUAAUUUCAGGCUUUUCAUCAGCUUAUCGGGAGCUUUAAAGUGUGGAACGGUUCCUGUACGUGUUGACUUUUCUUUAUGUGAUUUGAUGCUGCAUGAUGAGGACCUGGUUAUACUUGUCACGUGGAGAGGAAAAACACAUCUCAGAAAGUUGUUAUCAACAGGUGGAGUCAGAGAAAGGGCUGAAGCUUCAGUCAUUGCCCACCACAUAAAUCUUAAGAAAGUAAUACUUGGAAGGAGUACCUGUGUUGAAUCUCAUCUUUACAGACAUGGUUAAAGUGUGAGUCUAUAGUGCUCGGCUUGAGGAUGCCUUGCACAUCACAACCUGAGCAAUUACCUGGGAGCAAUAGCAGGAACAUCUCUAGAGAAAUACAGAGGCAGAAUAACUAGCCUGUAAAUGGUUGCCCUCAAGACAAGAGGCGGCAGCACCAGAGAACAGCUGUAGUUCACUGCAUAGAGGAAUAUGGUUUGGCGACCUAGGUUGAAUGCAGAUGGGAUUUUCUGUCAGCCAAAAUGGAGGUGGUAAGUGUUCUGAAACUCAGAAUGUUCCUUGGGAUCUUGAGGAACAGCUUGUGAUCAAUCACUUAGAAAGGGGUGAAAACCCUUAAUGAGACCUUAGUAUGAUGUAGUAGUAAGAAUGCAAAUUACAGAACAAAGUCUUUAGUUCAUAGAAAAAGUGUUCCCACCUCAGUAAGAUCUUUCAUUGUCUCCAAUUGCUUCCUGCUUGGUCCUUAGUUCUCUGUCUCUGAGCAGGCAGAACUGCCACCAUGGCCAAUGGACAGGGAGGAGCCAGCCCAGCACAGGACAUGGUAGGGGACCUUCUCUUCAACCUGCACGUUCUUUACAGGCAGCUCUCACAACUUACCAUCUCCAGCACACUGCCAAAUUUGGUAUUGGCCUGUUUGGUUCAAGAAAUCUGGCGGGCAGGGUUGACCAGCAGAUCGACAGCACGACUGUGCAGACCUCAUUUACUUAGUUAAUGGUGCAUGCAAGACAGCAACUCUUCAUGUUUUUGUUUCCCUUUAUUAUCGUGUGAAGGGUAUUUUCCAGUAUUGCUGCUGAUCUCAUGGACUUGAGAGCAUUUUUGCUUCUUCAGUGGUUUUCUUGGUCAGGCUUUUUGCAGAAAAGCGUGAUGGGGGAAACUUUUUUUUUUUAAUUUUUAAAGGGGAAAUGCAAUUGUUAAAUACUUUAAAGGAGUUUCUUCAUAUUUGGUUGGCUCCAUGGUGGCUUGAUUUAUUUAUUUGUUUGUUUUUCUUCAACUGAAUACAGAUGACGAAACUAACUUGUGACACUAGAGAUCUUAUGCUAAGCAUUUGUCAUUCAGGAUAGCAUGCGGAUUCCCAUAUUUGCUAUACACAAAAAGCAGGGUGGAUUUAAGGCUGUAGCGGGGUCAGCUUCAUUGUUCUACUGCUGUUAUACAAAUAAUUUGCAAUACUGAAAAUAUGAAAUUUCUGCCCCAUUUGAGGUAGAAGUACAUCUAAGCUAGUUGAGACAUUUAAGCACCACUCAACCUGUUACAGGAUGAUUAUUUAUCAGAAGCAAAGCUUGUAGGUAUCUCCUUAGAACCCAUCAGACACAAUAAUGCUGCAGUAUAUACAAUUCGCAUCAAAGGAAAAAUACCUAUGUACCAAAAAUUACCUUGGGCAGUUUGCUGCAGUAAUGACAGAAGGGAUGCACAUGAUGAUAAUUUUCAUUUCGUACUGUGUUUUCAUCUAAGGAUGAUGGUGAAGGAAUUACACCUCCUAAUGUUCCUUUCAAAGAUGACAAUAUUGUUCAACCUAUAUUAAAGGUAAUGAGAUGAGCAGUGAGUGGUUAGAUCUGGUGAAAAAUGAAGUUUUAAAUGCAUACUUCAUUGUCUAAAAGCUCGCAGAUGACUUUUUUCCUAUAAUGGCCGUAGAAAAUGUGUUGGCAGCAUAUCACAAUUAAUAAUCCUUACUCCAAUUUAUGUGCUACAGGCACUCCAAAAUUACUCUGAGAUAUUUCUUACCCAAGUUUAUAACCAGAUUCAAAUCAGUCUCUACAUUCGUGCCAAAAAACUGAACCGCAGUCAUCUCACAGAAAAUAAUUCCAUCUACCUGACAGAUGAGUCUUAAAUCCCUGUUUUUCUCCUUUCUCCAGAGUGAAAUUCACUUUAAUCUGGUAUUAAUGUAUUUUUCCUUCAGUUGCCUGCAAGGGAAUCCCAUAAUCUUGCAGUAGUGAUUGCACAGACAUGGAAGGCGCUGUACGCGUGCAGCAUUACCGUGGGUUUUUCCAGUCAUCUAGAUUGUAUAAAAUCCUUUGAUGUUAAUUGGGACAAGCUUUCUCUCUAGGGUGAUGUUGAAUUUAUCUUUCAGUGUCUUCUCCACCUCUUCAUCUUUAAGGGUUAUAAAUUCUACCAGAUCCAUGUUUUCCUUGUAAUUGUAUUUGGUCUCAGUGAGCGUCCACCCAAUGAGAGCUCGGAAGCCGUCGGUGGUCUGAAGGGUGCAGAUGGACUUCUUUGUGAAGAGGGACUCUGGAGACGUCUGAAGGACUCUUCAUGACCUAGUCUGCUGGAUGAGGAGCUAUACAACGUAAUUUCUGUCUUCUAAUCCAUGAAAAGUCAUGUGCACCGAUGUGGCUUUCACAACAGUCCAUUGUAAUCUGCUGGCCAUCAUUGUGGGCCGGGACCUGUAGAUGUCUGCCUGUCUCCUUCAUUUGAUGGAUGGGGAAGAUGGUGAUCCUUUUUGGGAAGAUGAAAACCAUGUCAGGAUGUAUCUGGGAGCUGUACCUGAGCUUUAGGCACACACUGCCCCAUCAGUUGGUGUGGCUGAGGACCGAUGUUCUUAUGCCACCCUCAUUCAUUGCUCAUCGUGUUCAGCACCUGCCAUGAAACUCAGCAUCAGAAAGGUAAAAGGCAUCCAACAUGCUGUGAAAACACACUGCUGGCAUGUCUUAACUUCCCAGAGUUCUUCACUUUUCCAGGAUCUUGUCUUUAUUGUCACUUUUGUGCAGAAUGCUGUUGAUAAUAAACAGCAGCACAGCUUAUUGUUGUGCCUGUUUGAUGUCAGAGGAAAGCGGGGCCCUGACUGUUUAUAUUAUAUUUUUCAGAGGUUGGUCUAAUAUUGAUUGUUUCAAUUUCAGAUACCAGAAGUCUGAUUUUUCUCAAGAACUGUUGAAGAGUCUCAGCUCCUAUUGAUCUUAUUUCAAUUUCAGAAAAAUCGUACUGAAAGGAGCUAAAAUUGAAAGCACAGAAUUGAAGAGUUUGGAGGGGUUUUCUGUUUGUUUUUAAGUUCCCUUACAUGAAUAGCUCAUUUCAAGCCAAUAUCUGGUAAGGGAAUAGGACAUGAGUCUCUCAACUCACUUCAUCAGCAACUCAUCAGUACCUAAUAGUGGGGUGUUUUGAGGAACUUUUAACCUUUCUUUCCUUUUUUCCUUAUGAAAUUUUUAUGGCCAAAUCCAGCUCAAGUCUCUGCUUCAGACCAUUAAAAGAACUGAACAAUUUGCAAAAAAUGUGUUGAGAAGAAGAUUGGAAAUAAUACCAAAAAACAUUACAGCGUUACAGAUCUUCUGUGUAAAAUGUGUCUCCGCAAUCUCUUCAUCUGUCAGGGUUGUGGUCUGCAGCAGGUCUGUGUCCUCCUUGUACUUGUACUUCAUCUCAGAGAAGGUCCAUCCAACUAGGGCAUAAAACCCUUCAGUUGUCUGGAGGCUGCAGAUGGACUUCUUCUGAAGUAUGGUAUCCGGACACACUUGUAGGUAUGUGUUUAGCUCCUGGAAGUCAUCUAUAUGUUUUGGCUCAAGUGUGAAUGAAUACAGUUUUCUGAUAUUGCCCAUUUCUGGAGUAUCAGAGAAAGGAACACUUCCCUCUGGAACAUAAUGUUUCCUCUUGACUUUCUCCAAGUACCAGAUGCCACUGUCUUCUGUGAAGCGGAAGAUGCCAGGAAUCUGGGGCUGAUCCUUCCCAGAAAUCAGCAACAUCGGCAGCCAUGUUUGGUAGGGACCACCACCAAAACCAGCAUCUACUAUGUAGGAACUUCCCUUGAUCACAACCUUCAGUAGGAUGUGAUUUAUUUGAUCAAUGUAUGCCUUCUUUGCUGGGUCAUAACUGUUUCCUCCGAGCACACAGACGUCAUACCCCAUUUCUUUCAAAGCCCAAAAUAAAAGGUAGUUUGUUUCCAUGCACCAUCCACCACGUUUCUUUUUCACUAUUUUAUUGUAAGUAGAUUGCAAAUCCAGGUCAAUGGUCUCUCCGCAAUGCAUGCUGAGGUUUUCAAAAGGAAUCGCCUGGAUGUGAUGCUGGAAGAUGGCUGUUAAGGUUUGCAAGUCUGCAUCCUUACGGGAGCCAUCAAAAGAAAUUCUUGAGAAAUACUCCUGAAUGUUCAUUUUACCUGUGUGAGCAGGAAAAUAGCCAGUUACUGUUGUGCAGCUCUCAAGGGGCUUCCCUCCCAUUUCUGUAGCACAGGUUAACCAGCCUGCAAAUGUAUCUGAGGCUGUUUCACUGAAGAUCUGAAAGACACCUGUGCCUUUGGUAGAGAUGAAUACAGGCUAGAGCUGCUUCUGUCAUCUGUAUUUCUUAAAGAGACAAGAAGGGAAGCAGGUAACACUAAAGCUCUAUCUCUCAGAAAUUGUUUUCAGCACAGUUGGGUGUCUCUGCUACAGGAAAACACAGCACAUGGCAUAACAGAAUCUUUGGCCCUGGAUGAAUGUCCACGUGACCAAAAUUUUAGGAAACUGGCAAAUGAGGUUUGCAAACAAGCUGUUAGCCUAUGCUAGCAAUAGUAACUGCAAUGCUUUACUACUGCUUUUACUGUAACAGUUAAGUAAUUCUUUAUCACACAGAUAAUUUAACAGGGGACUUUCACAUUCAUGGCUUUAGCUAACCAGGAUAAACUCCUCAAUGUGUCACUAUUUCAGACAAGCUUCCAUGCGAAGUAAACUGUUGUUGUUCUUAAUCUCUUUAGUUUUCCUGUGGAGUUCAGACACAGCUUUGAUUCUGUCUGUUAAAAAGAAGGGAUUGUUAAUUGUUCUACCCAAAAGCCAGGAGAACUCAUAAUUACUUCAAACACCUUCAGGACGCAUCCAGUGACUUUUGGUUUCUUUUGCUAUCUUUUACAAACCAAAGAAUUCAGCUCAAAUUGUUGCAUAUGUUUUUGUGUCUUCGUGUCUCUCAUUCCCUUUCUUUUCAUUAGCGGAAAGAGCAGAGAUGCAAAAGGUUCCCUAUAAGACUUUUAAUCCACUGACUGAUUUGGUGUCUGUAGGGAUUUGUCUUGCCUUUAAUUUCGAUUUCAUUUAGCUUUUUUUUCCAUUCCAAAUAUGUUUGUGGUUUUUUUUCCCCCAGAAUGAUUUAUAAUCUGAU
This is a long non-coding RNA of Centrocercus urophasianus (Greater sage-grouse), 8551 nucleotides long. RefSeq lists it as uncharacterized. The record is from RefSeq and is a predicted model, not a curated record. NCBI's taxonomy places the organism in Eukaryota, Metazoa, Chordata, Aves, Galliformes, Phasianidae. The transcript is spliced from 4 exons.